RNAcentral lists this ribosomal RNA (1665 nucleotides) under Triticum aestivum (bread wheat). Its description in RNAcentral is "partial small subunit ribosomal RNA". Lineage: Eukaryota; Viridiplantae; Streptophyta; Magnoliopsida; Poales; Poaceae. The record is from RNAcentral.
AUGGAGGGGGAGCCGCCCGCGCAGGGCCCGCCCCCCAGCGCCGCCGCCGCCUCCGCCUCCGGCCCCGGCGGCGGCGGCGGCGGCGGGGAGAAGGGCGCCCCGUGCCAGGAGUGCGGGGAGCAGCCGUGGAAGUACCGGUGCCCGGGCUGCUCGCGCCUCACCUGCAGCCUCCCCUGCGUGCAGGCCCACAAGCGCCGCACCGCCUGCUCCGGCAAGCGCCCCCGCACCGUCCCCGUCCCGCUCGCCCAGUUCGACGACAACCAGCUCCUCUCCGAUUACAACUUGUUGGAGGAGACGAGCAUGGUCAGGGAGUCAGCCCACAGGCUGCUCGGCGGCUUGGGCCGCAACUUCGGCUGCGGCUUCGAGGGACGCCAUGGCGCCCAGCUGCCGCCGUGGCUCUCCUUCCUCCGCAAGGCCGCGGAGCGCCGGGGCGUCCGGCUCGCCUUCCAACCCACUGGCAUGACCAGGAGGGAGCAGAACCGCUCGCGGCACGACAGGAGAAGUGACUGCAUAUACUGGACAGUCGAGUGGAAGUUCAAUUCAACAGAUAUUUUCCUAACUGACGAGCAGACAGACGAGAAUGCAAGCUUGCUAUCUUUAUUGGAAAAGCAUCUGACUCCUUCCCCUUGGAAGGACCAGCUUACGCCAUAUCGCAAUACUGAACUGCGUGAUUUGAAACUGUUCAUUCAGAAGUCUGCCAAGAAUUCAAAGUCGCCACACCGUCAACUCAAUAUAGAAGAGCCCUUGCGCCCCCAACUGAGGGGCACUCUUAUUGUCGAGUACCCAACUAUCAAUGUCUUCCUUCCAUCAGAUAGUUACGAGUUUCAAGUCGAGAAGCCUGCAAACAAGAUUAGCAGAAAUGAGCAGCCCCCUGGCACUUCGAAUGAUAGCCCUCCUAUAGAAGGCACCCAGUUUCAGGAGGAAGAAAUAGAGGAAGGCGAGUUGUCUCCAGAGACGCAGGUUAUUGAUCUCAAGGAUUCUGGUCCGUCACGUACCACAAAUCUUUCUCAAGUGAAGGUUACGAGUGAACCUAAGAUGGACAGCAUGCCGUCGUAUGUCCGUGGUCUGGCAUUUGGUGGUAAACAGGGGGAAGUUGAUCAACAUAGCAAGAUGGCAUCGAACAUGACUCCUGGGGCUCCAAAGGCUGAAUCCUGCAUGAAAGUCUACCCAGUGGACUUGAAGGAAGGAGUUGAAGGUGGGACCUUAGAGGGUCAGGUUAUUGACCUCAAGAACCAUGCAGCUUCAGAUCCUGCUAAAGAUAUGAAAACACCUGACACAGAUCGCAAGAUAGAUUCUUCAGUGCUGUCUCCCAUCAGUACUCUAGCAUCUGAGGUCUCGAGUCAUCCUCAGGAAGAAGAACACAACCAAGAAAGCAAGCUGACGCCAUCCGCAACCCCUGAAGCUCUGAAGAAGAGAUCUCUCACAAAAGUCUACCCGCUGGACAUCGACGACGCCCAGGGGGUACUGCUCUCGGAGCUGCCCAGCGUGGAGUUUGAGCAGGAGAUGGGAGACGCCUACGAGGAGCUGUUUGGGGACAUGAACCCCGAUGACUUCCUUGACUUUGAUCUCGGGACGAUGGACGUGGACGGGUACGGCGAAAUGAGGUCCCCGUUGAAGCUGUGGGACGAUGAUUUGGAGGAAGGCGAGAUCCCCUCGCAGCUCUGA